AAACUACAAAGGAAUUGACGGGACCCCGCACAAGCGGUGGAUCAUGUUGUUUAAUUCGAUGAUACGCGAAGAACCUUACCAGGUCUUGACAUCCCCCGCGAUGCUUUAGAGAUAAAGCGGAGGUAUUCGGGGAGACAGGUGGUGCAUGGUUGUCGUCAGCUCGUGUCGUGAGAUGUUGGGUUAAGUCCCGCAACGAGCGCAACCCCUAUUGCUAGUUACCAUCAUUAAGUUGGGGACUCUAGCGAGACUGCCAGUGAUAAACUGGAGGAAGGUGGGGAUGACGUCAAAUCAUCAUGCCCCUUAUGACCUGGGCUACAAACGUGAUACAAUGGCUGGAACAAGGGGAUGCGAAGCAGUGAUGUGGAGCGAAACCCAUAAAAACAGUCUCAGUUCGGAUUGAAGUCUGCAACUCGACUUCAUGAAGUCGGAAUCGCUAGUAAUCGCGGAUCAGAACGCCGCGGUGAAUACGUUCUCGGGGUUU
Molecule: ribosomal RNA, 481 nt
Filed under: uncultured Acholeplasma sp.
Lineage: Bacteria; Bacillati; Mycoplasmatota; Mollicutes; Acholeplasmatales; Acholeplasmataceae
Description: bacterial SSU rRNA
Rfam family: Bacterial small subunit ribosomal RNA
Source: RNAcentral